CACACACCCUGUCCACAGGUAGAAACGCACACACCUGGUCCACAGGUAGAAACGCACACACCUGGUCCACAGGUAGAAACACACACACCUGGUCCACAGGUAGAAACGCACACACCUGGUC
Long non-coding RNA from Melanotaenia boesemani (Boeseman's rainbowfish), 121 nucleotides. RefSeq lists it as uncharacterized. The record is from RefSeq and is a predicted model, not a curated record. Lineage: Eukaryota; Metazoa; Chordata; Actinopteri; Atheriniformes; Melanotaeniidae. The transcript is spliced from 3 exons.